CCUACGGGGGGCAGCAGUGAGGAAUAUUGGUCAAUGGCCGUAAGGCUGAACCAGCCAAGUCGCGUGAAGGAAGAAGGACCUAUGGUUUGUAAACUUCUUUUAUCGGGGAAUAAAUGUAUCCACGUGUGGAUAUUUGCAUGUACCCUAUGAAUAAGCAUCGGCUAACUCCGUGCCAGCAGCCGCGGUAAUACGGUGGAUGCGAGCGUUAUCCGGAUUUAUUGGGUUUAAAGGGUGCCUAGGUUGUUUUUUAAGUCAGCCGUGAAAGUUUGUGGCCUAACCAGAAAAUUGCCGUUGAAACUGGAAAGAUUGCGUGUUGUAGAGGGAGGCGGAA
This 331-nucleotide ribosomal RNA is filed under the name uncultured bacterium. RNAcentral's name for it is "partial 16S ribosomal RNA". It matches the Rfam family "Bacterial small subunit ribosomal RNA", at positions 338 to 666 of the family's 1533-position model. The record is from RNAcentral.